GCUCAUGGCUCAGGAUGAACGCUAGCUACAGGCUUAACACAUGCAAGUCGAGGGGCAGCAUGACCUAGCAAUAGGUUGAUGGCGACCGGCGCACGGGUGAGUAACACGUAUCCAACCUACCGGUUAUUCCGGGAUAGCCUUUCGAAAGAAAGAUUAAUACCGGAUAGUAUAACGAGAAGGCAUCUUCUUGUUAUUAAAGAAUUUCGAUAACCGAUGGGGAUGCGUUCCAUUAGUUUGUUGGCGGGGUAACGGCCCACCAAG
RNAcentral lists this ribosomal RNA (261 nucleotides) under uncultured bacterium. RNAcentral's name for it is "partial 16S ribosomal RNA". It matches the Rfam family "Bacterial small subunit ribosomal RNA", at positions 15 to 272 of the family's 1533-position model. The record is from RNAcentral.